This is a long non-coding RNA of Erinaceus europaeus (western European hedgehog), 4063 nucleotides long. RefSeq lists it as uncharacterized. The record is from RefSeq and is a predicted model, not a curated record. The transcript is spliced from 2 exons. Lineage: Eukaryota; Metazoa; Chordata; Mammalia; Eulipotyphla; Erinaceidae.
UUGAGUGCUGGGUGCCUGAGGGGCAGGUGGCUGAGGCAGGUCAAGUGUGACAGCAGACACCUUAGUCCAGAGCCAGGAUCAUCUGCCACCUUGCUUGCUACCUGGAGUGUCCAGCUCCCUGAUAUUCUGUUUGUGCCAAAGAAAGAAAAAGUAAAGCUCCAGAACAUUGGCAGGGCUGGUAGCUGAGGGUGACUCUCUGUAGCUAACAUGUACACCAUGUCUGGUUGAAUAGCCAAGUCCAGAAAAGCCUGAGUCACCAGUCGCCAAGUCCUGAGUCACCAGUGUGCCUGAGAUGGUGAUUUCUUUUGCCUGAUGGUGGGGUUGCAGUGGUAAGAGGUGCAGUGGGCUAGCAGCUGCCUUUGAUGGAGUGGGGGGAGUAGGUGUGGGCUUCAACGAGGCUGACGUCAGCCCUGCAGCGCUUUGGCUGUGCUAGGGGGCCCUUUUGAUGUAGCAGACACUUGUGGGCUCAGUGAGAUGAAAAAGAUGGGGAAAUGCACAGUUGUGGGAUAGGUGUGCAUUCCCAUAGCUCACCUCCAGGAGGAGAACUUGGGCUCUUGGAUUGCUUUAGUAUGUUGCACUAGAGCCAAGGCCAGAAAAGAAAUUCCGUGAACUCAAUGUGCUGACCUUAAAAGGACUUUUUUUUUUUUUUUUUUCCUGUGACAGUCUGUAAUACUGGUUUUCCUUGGUGUCCUUCAAUCACACACUCAUAACUUUUUGAGGUUUUGUGUUUGGAACUUAGAUGAUUUUUUUUUUUUUUUUUUUUUUUUACAAUUUUAUGGGGGUUGGUCAAGGGUUUGUAGUACAGUCAUUGACACCUGUGUACAAUUUCUUGUUUCCCUGUGAAAGUCCUCUGCACUUUUGUCUACAACUAACUCACCUACAACACUCUCCUCUACAACCUAGGUCCAUUACUUUAUCAUGAACCAGGACUCCAAGCUUCUCUUCAGCCUCUUCCUUCCCCUCCUUGCCCAGAGUUCUUUACUUUGAUGCAGUAUACCAUAGCCAGCCCACAUAUCACUUUGUGUUCUUUCUCCCUGUCCCUACUUGUUAAGUUCCUGUCCCUUCUUAUUAAAUCCUUCUGUUUUUCAUUCAUUUGUUGAAAGUGGAAGGGGGAGAUAAUGAGAGAAAAAGAGACACCUACAGCACUACUUUACCACUCCUGAAGCUUCCCCCUUGCAGGGGGGGAUCAGGGGCUUGAACCCAGGUCCUCACACAUGAUAAUGUGUGCAUUCAAACAGGUACACCACCAUCUGGCCCCUAAACCUUGAUGAAAACUUGUUCAUUCAGUACCUACUAUGGAUCAGGCACUGUGCCGGGACAGAACCACAGGUGAAAUCCUGCCUGCACUUGAAAUUUGGCAGUCUGCUGAUGGGGUGCAACAGGCAGUUGGGGCGAGGCUGAAGUAAGAACGCCUUAAGUGGUGGUGACCUUGGAGCUGGGUCCAGGAGGAUGGUUGGAGCUGGUGUGACCAGAGGAUAAGGAUGAGUCCAGCAGUGUGAAAGGUCCCAUGUGUGGAGGCAGUGUCACAGCUGAAGUAGAGACUGUGUGGUAUUGACAGGCAAGUGGGCUGAAGUGGCCAGGCAUGGGCCAGUCUGUCAGAGUUUACAUUCUACUUGAAGGCAAUGGUAGGGAGCCAUGGAAGGUUUAGAGUGAAGAGAGAAGCACAAACAGUUAUCCUGAGCAAUGAUUCUGAUGGGAUCAUGGAGGGAGAUGGGUUAGAGAGGCAAGAGACUGAUGCCUGGAUUAGUUAUAAAGAAUAUAAGAGGUUGGGCUGGGUGGUAGAGCACCUGGUUGAGUGCACAAGGACCUGAAUUCAAGACCCUGGUCCUAACCUGUAGGGGAAGAGCUUCACAAGCAGUGCAACAGUAUUGCAGGAAUCUCUUCCUCCCCUCUGAAUUUCUCUAUUUCUAUCCAAAAUAAAUAAAUAAAUGAGGGAGAAUAAGACUGAUUGUCAUGGUAGGGAGACAUAUUAGACUUGAGAUACACUAAAUGGUCUCAGAGAUCAUUUCUUAUAUUAAAAAAUAAAGUAUGAUUUUUUUUUUGCCUUCAGGGUUAUUGCUGAGGCUCGGUGCCUGCGCUAUGAAUCCACUGCUCCUGGAGGCCAUUUCCCCAUUUUCUUGCCCUUGUUGUUACUCUUAUUGUUGUCAUUAUUACUAUUGUUGUCACUGCUGCUGUUGUUGUUGAAUAGGACAGAGAGAAAUGGAGAGAGGAGGGGAAGAUGGAAAGGGGGAGAGAAAAACAGACACCCAUAGAUCUGCUUCAUCCCCUGUGAAGCAACUUCCCUGCAGGUGGGGAGCCGGGGGCUCAAACUGGGAUACUUGUGCCGGUCCUUGCGCUUUGUGUCAUGUGUGCUUAACCUGCUCUAUGAUUUUUUUUUUUUUAAUUGUCACUAGGGCUAUUGCUGGGGCUUAGUGCCUGCACUGCAAAUACACUGCUCCCGUUGGCCAUUUAUUCCUUUCCCUUUGUUUCUUUGGUCGGACAGAGAUAAAUUGAGAGGGGAGAAGGAGAGAGAAAGACACCUGUAGACCUGCUUCACCACUAGUGAAGCAUCCCCUGUUCUCCCCACUCACCUACCCCCGCAGUCCUGGAGUGGGGGCCUGACGUGGGUCCUUGUGCAUGGUAAUGUUUGUGUUCAACUGGGUGUACCACUGUCCAGCCCCCAGAAAGCAUAAUUCUUUCUCUGCCUUAUACAGCUCCGAGUCAUCCCAACAGAGGUACAGCUACUAUCUCCAUAGGUUAUGGCAUUGAGAGAGGAGUUACUGGAGGUCACACAGCUAGGGAAUGACAGAGCCAGAACUCAAACUGAAGCACAGCAUCUCUUAGCAGUGAGCAGCCACCACUCUUGACCUUGUGUAGGUACAGAUAAAGAGAUGUCUGUUCCCCCAGGUGGACUGGGGCAUGUGGAGGAGAUCACAUAGAGAGCUCAUUGGGGGGUGACAGGUCAAGUGCUGCUGCUCUGGAUGGAGGUGUGCCUUGUGCACAUAGGAGUGGAUGCUUUGGAUAUUUAGAUCCUUUGAAGUCCAGCACCUGUGACAGUGAGGACGUGGAGAUGUAGAAUUAGGCUGUUUCAGAAGAGAUGAGAAGCCACUUGAUGGAAUGAAUACUUCAAACAGAUGUCUGAGUCCCAGCUGGCAUCUUCUUCAGAUGUGUCUCUGGAAGGAGCCAGCAUUUGCUGCAAGAAGGAGUUGAUAAUCCUGGCUUUGCAGCCCUAACAUGGUUCAGGGGUAGUUUCCGUCUAUUGACCCUGUAGCUCUUCCAGGAUCCACACUGCCUCUGAGUCUUAUGGGACAUCUUGACUGAAGAUACUGGGAAGACUAUUCCAUGCACCUUUGAGGAGAGUAAUAAGAAGCUAAAGAAAUGGUUUGAAGGGGGCCAGGUGUGGCACACCCUGCUAAGUGCACAUAUUACAUGUGCAAGGACCCAGUUUGAGCCCCUGCUUCUCACCUGUAGAGGGGACAUUUCAGGAGCGGUGAAGGAAGUCUCUUCUCUCUUCCUCUGUAUGUCCCCUCCCCUCUCAAAUUUCUCUGUCCUGUCAAUUGAAAUAGAAAAAAAAAAAAAAAGGGAAAAAAUGGUUGCUGGGAGCAGUGGAUUCAUAAUCCCUGGCACCAAGCCCUAGCAGUAACCUUGGUGGGAAAAACAAAAAAAGGUUUGGGUGAUUCUACCAGCCGUUCCACUCCAUGGGUGUCUGUCCCUGAGAUGGUAUGACUAGGGACUAAGAGCCUUGCAGUCCCUUUGUUGACUCUGAUUAAGUUCCCAUGUGCCUUUCAAAGGGUGUAAGCAGGGAGUCGAGCUGUAGCGCAGCGGGUUAAGCGCAGGUGGCGCAAAGCACAAGGACUGACAUAAGGAUCCCGGUUCGAACCCCGGCUCCCCACCUGCAGGGGAGUUGCUUCACAGGUGGUGAAGCAGGUCUGCAGGUGUCUAUCUUUCUCUCAUCCUCUCUGUCUUCCCCUCCUCUCUCCAUUUCUCUCUGUCCUAUCCAACAACGACAACAACAAUAAUAACUACAACAAUAAAACAACAAGGGCAACAAAAGGGAAUAAAUAAAUAAAAAUAUAUAAAAAAA